AAUAAGAGGUCCAGCCUGCCCAGUGAAUUUUAAACGGCCGCGGUAUCCUAACCGCGCGAAGGUAGCAUAAUCACUUGUUCUUUAAAUGGGGACUUGUAUCAACGGCAUCACGAGGGUUUUACUGUCUCCUCUUUUUGAUCAGUGAAAUUGAUCUUCCCGUGAAGAAGCGGGAAUAAGCUUAUAAGACGAGAAGACCCCAUGGAGCUUAAAACCAAAUAACAACUUAACCACUUACCCCACUAUAAAUUUAAGCCCUGUUAUAAGGUUUUUGGUUGGGGUGACCGCGGAGUAAAACACAUCCUCCACGACGGAAAGAACACACUCUUUAUUUAAGAACCACAAUUCUAGAAAUUAGUAUACUAACGUUUACUGACCCGACAAUCGAUCAACGGACCAAGUUACCCUGGGGAUAACAGCGCAAUCUACUUCAAGAGCCCAUAUCGACAAGUAGGCUUACGACCUCGAUGUUGGAUCAGGGUAUCCCGGUGGUGCAGCCG
RNAcentral lists this ribosomal RNA (497 nucleotides) under Polypedates megacephalus (Hong Kong whipping frog). RNAcentral describes it as "partial large subunit ribosomal RNA". It matches the Rfam family "Bacterial large subunit ribosomal RNA", at positions 1844 to 2561 of the family's 2925-position model. The record is from RNAcentral. Lineage: Eukaryota; Metazoa; Chordata; Amphibia; Anura; Rhacophoridae.